This 304-nucleotide long non-coding RNA is filed under the name Androctonus crassicauda. Lineage: Eukaryota; Metazoa; Arthropoda; Arachnida; Scorpiones; Buthidae. The record is from RNAcentral.
AGAUACUUUUUUUUCUGUUAAAUAUUCCUUUCUUUCAAGAUUUAGUUCACAUAGGAUUGAAUAAUGUUAAAUUUUCGUGCUAAUUUGCACUAGGUUUUGCCAAAUGUUCCAACAGUCAAUUCUUCAAGACAGGCUUUUGACAAGAAUCAACACUUCUUUCCAGGUUUUUCCCAUUCUCAAUUCUUCCAAUAAUGCUAUAAACUGUACUUCUUGGUAUCCCCAUCUUCAAAAAAUGAUUGACAAUGAAACAUUUUCCACGCUCUCUAUUUUCCAAGUAAAAUGUGCCGAUGAUUUUUCUCUUACU